CUCGGCUCUCCCGGCGUGCCCCGCGGCAGGGGGCGGUGCCAGGGACUCGUUGCGGGCGCAGCCAGUACCUAGAGGCUGAGGCUCCCGUCAGGCUGUGCGGGGGCAUUUUUGAACAACACGACUCUCCCAUCCCAGCCAAGAAGGAGAAUGGGGAUGUGAAAGGAGAAGGAGUGUGGUGCGCUGGACUCCUCCACAGACUACUGGGUUUUCCUGGACUUCCAGGCGGGCCAGGUGGCAAGGAGAUAUCAGGUGCUACCACAGCCCUGUAGUUUACCUAGGCUUGAUUUGUGACCCAAGAUGUGAUCUAUCCUGGAGAAUGUUGCGGGUGGACUUGAGAAGAAAGUGUAUUCUGCUGCUUUCGGAUAGAAUGUCCUAUAAAUAUCAAUUAAGUCUAUCUGGUCUAAUGUGUCAUUUAAGGCUUGUGUUUCCUUAUUAAUUUUCUGUCUGGAUGAUCUGUCCACUGGUGUAAGUGGGGUGUUAAAGUCCCCCACUAUUAUUGUCUUACUGCCGAUUUCCCCUUUUAUGGCUGUUAGCAUUUGCCUUGUAUACUGAGGUGCUCCUAUGUUGCAUGUAUAUAUAUUUACAGUUGUUAUAUCUUGCCCCAUUGGUUUAUGUUCUCCAUCAUCACGGAGCUCUUCUUGGUUUUCCUGGGUAGUUUCCACACUAAUCCUAAACUGAGAACAAAAUGUUUUGUUAGAUACUCUCUGCUAAAUACACACCAAA
Long non-coding RNA from Globicephala melas (long-finned pilot whale), 723 nucleotides. RefSeq lists it as uncharacterized. Lineage: Eukaryota; Metazoa; Chordata; Mammalia; Artiodactyla; Delphinidae. The record is from RefSeq and is a predicted model, not a curated record.